RNAcentral lists this ribosomal RNA (922 nucleotides) under uncultured Bacteroidota bacterium. Its description in RNAcentral is "bacterial SSU rRNA". It matches the Rfam family "Bacterial small subunit ribosomal RNA", at positions 1 to 916 of the family's 1533-position model. The record is from RNAcentral. Lineage: Bacteria; Pseudomonadati; Bacteroidota.
GGAUCCAGACUUUGAUUAUGGCUCAGGAUGAACGCUAGCUACAGGCUUAACACAUGCAAGUCGAGGGGCAGCGGGAUUGAAGCUUGCUUCAAUUGCCGGCGACCGGCGCACGGGUGAGUAACGCGUAUCCAAUCUUCCGUACACUCAGGGAUAGCCUUUCGAAAGAAAGAUUAAUACCUGAUAGUAUCUUAAGCACACAUGUAAUUAAGAUUAAAGAUUUAUCGGUGUACGAUGGGGAUGCGUUCCAUUAGGUAGUAGGCGGGGUAACGGCCCACCUAGCCAACGAUGGAUAGGGGUUCUGAGAGGAAGGUCCCCCACAUUGGAACUGAGACACGGUCCAAACUCCUACGGGAGGCAGCAGUGAGGAAUAUUGGUCAAUGGACGAGAGUCUGAACCAGCCAAGUAGCGUGAAGGAUGAAGGUCCUACGGAUUGUAAACUUCUUUUAUAAGGGAAUAAACCCUCCCACGUGUGGGAGCUUGUAUGUACCUUAUGAAUAAGCAUCGGCUAACUCCGUGCCAGCAGCCGCGGUAAUACGGAGGAUGCGAGCGUUAUCCGGAUUUAUUGGGUUUAAAGGGAGCGCAGACGGGUCGUUAAGUCAGCUGUGAAAGUUUGGGGCUCAACCUUAAAAUUGCAGUUGAUACUGGCGUCCUUGAGUGCGGUUGAGGUGUGCGGAAUUCGUGGUGUAGCGGUGAAAUGCUUAGAUAUCACGAAGAACUCCGAUUGCGAAGGCAGCACACUAAUCCGUAACUGACGUUCAUGCUCGAAAGUGUGGGUAUCAAACAGGAUUAGAUACCCUGGUAGUCCACACGGUAAACGAUGGAUACUCGCUGUUGGCGAUAUACUGUCAGCGGCUUAGCGAAAGCGUUAAGUAUCCCACCUGGGGAGUACGCCGGCAACGGUGCAACUCAAAUGAAUUGACGG